This 450-nucleotide ribosomal RNA is filed under the name uncultured bacterium. Its description in RNAcentral is "bacterial SSU rRNA". It matches the Rfam family "Bacterial small subunit ribosomal RNA", at positions 354 to 796 of the family's 1533-position model. The record is from RNAcentral.
GUGGGGAAUAUUGGACAAUGGGCGAAAGCCUGAUCCAGCAAUGCCGCGUGUGUGAAGAAGGCCUGCGGGUUGUAAAGCACUUUCAGUAGGGAGGAAAUGCUGAAGGUUAAUAACCUUUAGUCUUGACGUUACCUACAGAAGAAGCACCGGCUAACUCCGUGCCAGCAGCCGCGGUAAUACGGAGGGUGCAAGCGUUGUUCGGAAUUACUGGGCGUAAAGCGCGUGUAGGCGGCCUGGUAAGUCAGAUGUGAAAGCCCUCGGCUUAACCGGGGAAGUGCAUCUGAAACUGCCUGGCUUGAGUACGGGAGAGGGAGGCGGAAUUCCCAGUGUAGAGGUGAAAUUCGUAGAUAUUGGGAGGAACACCGGUGGCGAAAGCGGCCUCCUGGACCGAUACUGACGCUGAGACGCGAAAGCGUGGGGAGCAAACAGGAUUAGAAACCCUAGUAGUCC